UACAGAGGGGGCAAGCGUUAUUCGGAAUUAUUGGGCGUAAAGGGCGCGUAGGCGGCUUUGCAAGUGACGGGUGAAAGCCCUCGGCUUAACCGAGGAACUGCCUGUCAGACUGUAAGGCUUGAGACCGGGAGAGGUGAGUGGAAUUCCCAGUGUAGCGGUGAAAUGCGUAGAUAUUGGGAGGAACACCAGUGGCGAAGGCGGCUAUCUGGACCGACAUUGACGCUGAGGCGCGAAAGCGUGGGGAGCAAACAGG
RNAcentral lists this ribosomal RNA (253 nucleotides) under uncultured bacterium. Its description in RNAcentral is "partial 16S ribosomal RNA". It matches the Rfam family "Bacterial small subunit ribosomal RNA", at positions 524 to 776 of the family's 1533-position model. The record is from RNAcentral.